GAUGAACGCUGGCGGCGUGCCUAAUACAUGCAAGUCGAGCGAACAGACGAGGAGCUUGCUCCUCUGACGUUAGCGGCGGACGGGUGAGUAACACGUGGAUAACCUACCUAUAAGACUGGGAUAACUUCGGGAAACCGGAGCUAAUACCGGAAAAUAUAUUGAACCGCAGGGUUCAAUAGUGAAAGACGGUUUUGCUGUCACUUAUAGAUGGAUCCGCGCCGCAUUAGCUAGUUGGUAAGGUAACGGCUUACCAAGGCAACGAUGCGUAGCCGACCUGAGAGGGUGAUCGGCCACACUGGAACUGAGACACGGUCCAGACUCCUACGGGAGGCAGCAGUAGGGAAUCUUCCGCAAUGGGCGAAAGCCUGACGGAGCAACGCCGCGUGAGUGAUGAAGGUCUUCGGAUCGUAAAACUCUGUUAUUAGGGAAGAACAAAUGUGUAAGUAACUAUGCACGUCUUGACGGUACCUAAUCAGAAAGCCACGGCUAACUACGUG
RNAcentral lists this ribosomal RNA (497 nucleotides) under uncultured bacterium. RNAcentral's name for it is "partial 16S ribosomal RNA". It matches the Rfam family "Bacterial small subunit ribosomal RNA", at positions 28 to 507 of the family's 1533-position model. The record is from RNAcentral.